GAAAUGCGAUAAGUAAUGUGAAUUGCAGAAUUCAGUGAAUCAUCGAAUCUUUGAACGCACAUUGCGCCCGCCAGUAUUCUGGCGGGCAUGCCUGUUCGAGCGUCAUUUCAACCAUCAAGCCCCCGGCUUGUGUUGGGGACCUGCGGCUGCCCGCAGGCCCUGAAAAACAGUGGCGGGCUCGCUGUCACACCGAGCGUAGUAGCAUACAUUCUCGCUCGGGCGUGCUGCGGGUUCCGGCCGUUAAACGACCUUCAUAACCCAAGGUUGACCUCGGAUCAGGUAGGAAGACCCGCUGAACUUAAGC
This 304-nucleotide unclassified non-coding RNA is filed under the name plant metagenome. Its description in RNAcentral is "partial contains 5.8S ribosomal RNA, internal transcribed spacer 2, and large subunit ribosomal RNA". The stretch from base 1 to 105 matches the Rfam family "5.8S ribosomal RNA", at positions 50 to 154 of the family's 154-position model. The record is from RNAcentral.